UGCUCCUGAUCCCCAUCCUUUCUCUCAAGGUUCAUCGCCCCAACUUGUUGCCACCACCAUUCGUAGAUCUGUGAAAACACUCCCUGUGAACUGCCUUCGCUGCUCCAUCCUCAUAACCCUACCUAUUUGCAACUUAAAGUGUCUCACUGUGUCACUGUUAACAUGUUUUCUGUCCUUAUGUUUUCUGUACCAGGGAUAAAUUAACUUAUACACUCUUCACCAAACGCGGCCUUAGUAUCUACCAAUAGUAUUUGACUUUUAGCACUAUGGUUGGUGCCAGUGACAUAUGCUACUACAAGUGAUCAAAGUUUUAAAUUUAUAAAUAAAUUCUAACUACAAGUUUGUGAUUCUUCUCAUAUGUCUAUAUACGUGUAUAAUUACAGCAUAGGUCAAUUUGUGAUUUGAGAAUUGGACAU
This 416-nucleotide long non-coding RNA is filed under the name Oryza brachyantha (malo sina). Its description in RNAcentral is "long non-coding RNA (OBRA_LNC003165)". The record is from RNAcentral. Lineage: Eukaryota; Viridiplantae; Streptophyta; Magnoliopsida; Poales; Poaceae.